GACGAACGCUGACGGCGGGCUUAACACAUGCAAGUCGAAGGGAGUGGCGCACGGGAGAGUAACACGUGAGUAACCUGCCCUUUUGUUUGGGAUUAGCCUGGGAAAUUGGGACUAAUACAGGAUGGUUUGGGCUGGGCUCGCGGCUUAUUAGCUUGUGUGUGGGGUGAGGGCGUAGCAAGGCUUUGACGGGUAGCCGGGCUGAGAGGGCAGUCUGUCACACUGGGACGGAGAGACGGCCCAGGCUCCGCCGGGAGGGAGCAGAUGGGGAUAUUGCACAAAGGAUGAAAGACCGAUGCAGCGUCGUCGUGUGGGGGAUGAAGGCCGUCGGGUUGUAAAAGCCUGUCGCCCGCGGGAUGGUAGUGGGUAAAGAAGCACCGGCUAACUACGUGCCAGCAGCCGCGGUAAUUC
Molecule: ribosomal RNA, 408 nt
Filed under: uncultured bacterium
Lineage: Bacteria
Description: partial 16S ribosomal RNA
Rfam family: Bacterial small subunit ribosomal RNA
Source: RNAcentral